This 274-nucleotide ribosomal RNA is filed under the name uncultured bacterium. RNAcentral's name for it is "partial 16S ribosomal RNA". It matches the Rfam family "Bacterial small subunit ribosomal RNA", at positions 523 to 796 of the family's 1533-position model. The record is from RNAcentral.
AUACGGAGGGGGUUAGCGUUGUUCGGAAUUACUGGGCGUAAAGCGCACGUAGGCGGACUGGAAAGUUGGGGGUGAAAUCCCGGGGCUCAACCCCGGAACUGCCUCCAAAACUUCCAAUCUAGAGAUCGAGAGAGGUGAGUGGAAUUCCAAGUGUAGAGGUGAAAUUCGUAGAUAUUUGGAGGAACACCAGUGGCGAAGGCGGCACACUGGCUCGAUACUGACGCUGAGGUGCGAAAGCGUGGGGAGCAAACAGAAUUAGAAACCCCUGUAGUCC